UGAGGCUGGAGAAUCGGGCAGCUGGGUCUUGGGGAGCCCUGGGGUACUAUCUGAGUGGCCGGGACUUGCGGGACCAUUGAAAAGCAGUGCCUGGUGUGCCGAGGUAUUGAUACCCCUCCUCCUGGGAGCACGUGGAGGACCAGGCCAGUUGGCUUUGGCUGCCAGGAGCCCCACCUGCUACCCCGGUGUGCCAUUCCAAUGUUGUCAUCUUCUACACAAGCCAUGGCCUGUGAAAGGCUGGGAGACAUCUUUCUAGGGAUGAAGAAAGAAAGGUCUGUCAAGGUUCAGAAGAUGCUAGUCAUUCUCCUGAUUCACCAGACUGCCUUGAUUUAGUGCUCACUGCGUCCAAGACUGUCCUCUGAGAGGUGCUGGAAUGAAACUGAUUGCCACGCCAUUGUGGAAGCCAAUUCAUGAAGAAAGGAGCCAAGAACGGCUGGCAGGUAUUGUUUAGCCAUGAGGAACUGAAACGUUGCUUGAAGAAACACUUUAGCAUAUUUGCACAUCAAUAGGCACUACAGGAGCUCUACUGCCAUUUUUUGAGAGCUUAGUCUGUACGGGUUCGCAAUCCCCUAUCCACAGGUUGACCCUAUCAUUUACCAUCUAAACUGGGCAGUUGUAACAGUGAAACCUGGGAGAGCUAUUAAAAAUUUCACCAGGACAAGGGUAAACCAGAAUGUCCCAAGCACACUGGAAUGUAUCCAAAACCCUGAGGACAAGUGGGUCUCAGAUUCACUUUUCAAAGAUUUUAUAGAUAAUAUUGUACAUCUCUGUGUCCUGUGUGUGAGUGUGCAUGCUAAGUCGCUUCAGUCAUGUCUGA
Molecule: long non-coding RNA, 817 nt
Organism: Cervus elaphus (red deer)
Lineage: Eukaryota; Metazoa; Chordata; Mammalia; Artiodactyla; Cervidae
Exons: 3
Source: RefSeq, a predicted model, not a curated record